CGGAGCCCCAUAGGUAUAGAAAUGGUCUAUAACUAGGCGACUCAGUUUUUGUGGUCAAUGACGUCAUUGUCACAAGCUGCCAUCCAUCCAGCCAGCCGCGAUCUGCCUAGGCACAGGCCUCCAGAGCGCGCAAAACAAUAUGGCGGAUGAGUAGUUUUGCCUCUCUCAAAAACACACGAAAACUGACUGCAGAAAAGCCAAGUAUUGUCGAAAAAUAAGUGCUUGAAAAAAAUCAUUCGUGGGAAUGCUAACCACCGAUAUAAACUUGUCUAAUUGUGCGUAAAAGACUGUAUAAAAGCAUGGUUGAAAGUUUUGAAGAGUCAAGUCUUGUGCUCGAGUCAAGGUUAAUCUCAGCCAGAGAUUCUGAAAUCAAGCUGAGACACAAGCUGCUGGCUAAGAGGCAUGACCCAGGGCAGGAUGUACAUAUAAGGCAUUAGUAUUUAAUGUAGGUCACCAAAAAUAAACACAUAUAAAGUAACAAAAAAUAAGAUAAUAUUUUAAUGGAAAAAUUGUUCUAAAAAAUGAAACAGAGUUAUAAAAGUAAAAAAAAACUAGUUUUAUUUUCCAAGUUAGCCUUUCAGGUUCUUGUAUAAUGUGUGGUUAGUUAAAUUUAGAAUAUUAUAAAUAGUCUCUUGCUAUUUUAAUGACUCAUUGUAAAGUAAUUGAGGUAGUAAGUUAAUCAUAAAAAACAAAAACAGGUCUCCUAUAUGAUCCCUUAAGAUCAUAUAUAAAAUUAUUUAGAAAUCAAUUUUCCUAUUUCAACCUAUUUCAAAUAUAGGCAAAAUAGAUGCUUUAUAAUAAGGAUUAUAAUUUGAUAAUUUAAGGUUAACAGACUGUUUAUUCUAGGUUUUUAUAUGUGGUUCUUAACUGUAUAAUAAAAUAAUGUACUCAGAA
Long non-coding RNA from Nematostella vectensis (starlet sea anemone), 894 nucleotides. RefSeq lists it as uncharacterized. The record is from RefSeq and is a predicted model, not a curated record. The transcript is spliced from 2 exons. Lineage: Eukaryota; Metazoa; Cnidaria; Anthozoa; Actiniaria; Edwardsiidae.